UUUUGCAAGUUUCCGCUUCGUACCCCUUCGCCCCCAUUUCGGAAACCGGUUCGAUCUCGAUUCCUCCUCUCUCGCUUCAUCGGAGAGCGAAGCGUCCCGAAGGAUCGGAAUUCGUGCUCUUCGCCAUGGAGCUAGAUCAAUGGAUCUCCAAGGUGAAGGAAGGGCAGCAUCUUGAGGAACACGAGCUUCAACUCCUCUGCGAAUAUGUCAAAGAGAUACUUAUAGAGGAGUCAAAUGUACAACCUGUUAAUAGCCCUGUCACUGUUUGUGGUGACAUUCACGGUCAGUUUCAUGAUCUAAUGAAGCUAUUUCAAACUGGAGGUCAUGUUCCUGAGACAAAUUAUAUUUUUAUGGGUGAUUUUGUUGAUCGUGGUUAUAACAGUCUUGAAGUUUUCACAAUCCUUUUGCUGCUAAAAGCCAGAUACCCUGCAAAUAUCACCCUUUUGCGAGGCAAUCAUGAGAGCAGGCAGUUAACCCAGGUUUAUGGAUUUUAUGAUGAAUGCCAGAGGAAGUAUGGGAAUGCAAAUGCAUGGCGCUAUUGCACAGAUGUAUUUGACUACCUUACUCUAUCAGCAAUUAUAGAUGGAACUGUACUUUGUGUCCAUGGUGGCCUUUCUCCAGAUGUAAGAACAAUUGACCAGAUAAGGGUUAUUGAUCGCAACUGUGAAAUUCCCCAUGAAGGUCCUUUUUGCGAUCUCAUGUGGAGUGACCCAGAAGAAAUUGAUACAUGGGCCGUUAGCCCUCGAGGUGCAGGUUGGCUAUUUGGAUCAAGGGUUACAACAGAAUUCAAUCAGAUAAACAAACUUGAUCUAGUUUGUCGGGCUCAUCAGUUGGUCCAAGAAGGCCUCAAGUAUAUGUUUGAUAAGGGACUCGUAACGGCAAGUUUGGUCAGCGCCUAAUUAUUGUUACAGGUGUGGGAAUGUAGCUUCAAUAUUGAGCUUCAACGAAAACAUGGAAAGGGAGGUGAAAUUCUUCACAGAAACAGAGGAGAAUAAUCAAAUGCGGGGGCCGCGGUCUGGUGUUCCCUAUUUUCUUUGAACGAAUUGAUAUUGGUUGCUCAAGUACGUUUUCAUACAUCAUAGAGCAGACCAGUAAGAUGAUAGAUGCACUGAGAUUGAUGUGUUGACCGUUGGAGAAUGGGUCAAUGCUGAUGAGAUCCCAAACCAUUGCAGCUUUGCCUCGCACAUAUGUUAUGCUACAUAGUAGAGAUUGUCGAUGUCGUCUGUCUUAAUUGACUAUGCUGUUUUGCUACAAUUAAAGGUCAUGAUUUCAAUUGUUAUUUUGAGUUAGGAGGUCAGGGUGAACUUAUUUGUUGCAGGAACUUCAUAGGUUCUAUUUAAAUUCUCUGCAAAAAGUUGUUUCCAAAUGCAUGGACCAACUUGCAUCAAGUGAUUUGCUUAGCACUUUGAAAAUGUAUCUCUUUGUUUCA
Zingiber officinale is the source of this 1429-nucleotide RNA transcript. It is a transcript of the gene named phytochrome-associated serine/threonine-protein phosphatase 3, with no coding region annotated. NCBI's taxonomy places the organism in Eukaryota, Viridiplantae, Streptophyta, Magnoliopsida, Zingiberales, Zingiberaceae. The record is from RefSeq and is a predicted model, not a curated record. The transcript is spliced from 10 exons.